GAUGAACGCUAGCGGCAGGCCUAAUACAUGCAAGUCGAACGGGCGGUAGCAAUACCGCUAGUGGCGCACGGGUGCGUAACGCGUAACCAACCUGCCCAGAUCUGGGGGAUAGCCCGCCGAAAGGCGGAUUAAUACCGCAUAAACCCACAGUGUGGCAUCACAUAAUGGGUAAAGAUUUAUCGGAUCUGGAUGGGGUUGCGUAGCAGUAGCUAGUUGGCGGGGUAAUGGCCCACCAAGGCGACGAUGCUUAGGGGACCUGAGAGGGUGAUCCCCCACACUGGCACUGAGAUACGGGCCAGACUCCUACGGGAGGCAGCAGUAGGGAAUAUUGGGCAAUGGGCGAGAGCCUGACCCAGCCAUGCCGCGUGCCGGAUGAAGGCCUUCUGGGUUGUAAACGGCUUUUCUCAGGGAAGAAAACGGGGAUGCGUCCUCAACUGACGGUACCUGAGGAAUAAGCACCGGCUAACUCCGUG
Molecule: ribosomal RNA, 473 nt
Filed under: uncultured bacterium
Lineage: Bacteria
Description: partial 16S ribosomal RNA
Rfam family: Bacterial small subunit ribosomal RNA
Source: RNAcentral